RNAcentral lists this ribosomal RNA (1372 nucleotides) under uncultured bacterium. Its description in RNAcentral is "bacterial SSU rRNA". It matches the Rfam family "Bacterial small subunit ribosomal RNA", at positions 28 to 1381 of the family's 1533-position model. The record is from RNAcentral.
GAUGAACGCUGGCGGCGUGCCUAAUACAUGCAAGUCGAGCGAACGGACGAGAAGCUUGCUUCUCUGAUGUUAGCGGCGGACGGGUGAGUAACACGUGGAUAACCUACCUAUAAGACUGGGAUAACUUCGGGAAACCGGAGCUAAUACCGGAUAAUAUUUUGAGCCGCAUGGUUCAAAAGUGAAAGACGGUCUUGCUGUCACUUAUAGAUGGAUCCGCGCUGCAUUAGCUAGUUGGUAAGGUAACGGCUUACCAAGGCAACGAUGCAUAGCCGACCUGAGAGGGUGAUCGGCCACACUGGAACUGAGACACGGUCCAGACUCCUACGGGAGGCAGCAGUAGGGAAUCUUCCGCAAUGGGCGAAAGCCUGACGGAGCAACGCCGCGUGAGUGAUGAAGGUCUUCGGAUCGUAAAACUCUGUUAUUAGGGAAGAACAUAUGUGUAAGUAACUGUGCACAUCUUGACGGUACCUAAUCAGAAAGCCACGGCUAACUACGUGCCAGCAGCCGCGGUAAUACGUAGGUGGCAAGCGUUAUCCGGAAUUAUUGGGCGUAAAGCGCGCGUAGGCGGUUUUUUAAGUCUGAUGUGAAAGCCCACGGCUCAACCGUGGAGGGUCAUUGGAAACUGGAAAACUUGAGUGCAGAAGAGGAAAGUGGAAUUCCAUGUGUAGCGGUGAAAUGCGCAGAGAUAUGGAGGAACACCAGUGGCGAAGGCGACUUUCUGGUCUGUAACUGACGCUGAUGUGCGAAAGCGUGGGGAUCAAACAGGAUUAGAUACCCUGGUAGUCCACGCCGUAAACGAUGAGUGCUAAGUGUUAGGGGGUUUCCGCCCCUUAGUGCUGCAGCUAACGCAUUAAGCACUCCGCCUGGGGAGUACGACCGCAAGGUUGAAACUCAAAGGAAUUGACGGGGACCCGCACAAGCGGUGGAGCAUGUGGUUUAAUUCGAAGCAACGCGAAGAACCUUACCAAAUCUUGACAUCCUUUGACAACUCUAGAGAUAGAGCUUUCCCCUUCGGGGGACAAAGUGACAGGUGGUGCAUGGUUGUCGUCAGCUCGUGUCGUGAGAUGUUGGGUUAAGUCCCGCAACGAGCGCAACCCUUAAGCUUAGUUGCCAUCAUUAAGUUGGGCACUCUAAGUUGACUGCCGGUGACAAACCGGAGGAAGGUGGGGAUGACGUCAAAUCAUCAUGCCCCUUAUGACUUGGGCUACACACGUGCUACAAUGGACAAUACAAAGGGCAGCGAAACCGUGAGGUCAAGCAAAUCCCAUAAAGUUGUUCUCAGUUCGGAUUGUAGUCUGCAACUCGACUACAUGAAGCUGGAAUCGCUAGUAAUCGUAGAUCAGCAUGCUACGGUGAAUACGUUCCCGGGUCU